UUUGUCCAUACAAAUUUAAGUCAGUGGGGUCUAAUAUGCCAUUUAUCCUGUCAGUCUGUCACAGAGUCGUCUCAGUUUAACUGCCAUCACCAACCUGUCAACAGCGCUGGCUGAGGGACGGACGAUAACGCUGGAUCUUUCACAUUCCACACUGAAAAAAGAGUCGGUCAAAACCCUCUGCCAUGCACUCACGCUCUCCACGCUGGAGUCGCUCAACUUGUGUGGAUGCUCAUUGACUACAGCUGAUUGUGAAGCUCUGGCUCAGAUGCUCUCUGGAGGCUCACGGCUGCGUGUGCUCAAUCUGUGUGGGAAUAAUCUGGAGGAUCAAGGCCUUAUUCACCUCAGCAGUGCCCUGGAAAACUGCAGACUACAAGAAAUCAAUCUGGAUUUAUGCUCACUGACGGCGGCAUCCAUGCCUGCGCUGUCUUCAGCUCUGAACAGCGGCUUUUCAGAGCUGAGGAAGCUAAGCCUGAGCCGGAACGCAGUGAUGGAUGAUGGGAUAGAGCUGAUCUCACGAGUGUUACAGAAAGGCAGCCUCAACACAUUGAAGUAAUACACACAUACUCUGUUUAGGUGACCAACACAAAUGCCUAAAAACCACC
This 602-nucleotide long non-coding RNA is filed under the name Sinocyclocheilus grahami. Its description in RNAcentral is "lncRNA (ENSSGRG00000033059.1)". Lineage: Eukaryota; Metazoa; Chordata; Actinopteri; Cypriniformes; Cyprinidae. The record is from RNAcentral.